This 1629-nucleotide ribosomal RNA is filed under the name metagenome. RNAcentral's name for it is "bacterial LSU rRNA". It matches the Rfam family "Bacterial large subunit ribosomal RNA", at positions 1298 to 2925 of the family's 2925-position model. The record is from RNAcentral.
UGACAUGAGUAACGAUAAAAUAUGUGAAAAACAUAUUCGCCGUAAAUCUAAGGUUUCCUGGGUAAAGGUAAUCUUCCCAGGGUUAGUCGGACCCUAAGGCCAGGCUGAAAGGCAUAGCUGAUGGGAAACGGGUUAAUAAUCCUGUACUUGUGCGAUUGUGCGAAGAAGGGACGCAGGAUGGUAGACAGGCCGGUUUUUGGAAUCCGGUGCAAGUGUGUAGGUAUGCUCCGCAGGCAAAUCCGCGGGGAUGAGCCGAGACACGAGUCCGUGGGCGUAAGCCCUGAAGCUGUUGAGCCACGGCUGCCAAGAAAAGCUUCUAAGUUUAGAUCGCGCGAACCGUACCGCAAACCAACUCAGGUGGAUGGGAUGAAUAAUCCAAGGCGCUCGAGAGAACUCUGGCCAAGGAACUCGGCAAAUUGACCCCGUACCUUCGGAAUAAGGGGUGCUCCCCACGGUGAGGCAGAUUCCUGUUCAGCCUCAGGGAGCCGCAGAGAAAUGGUGGUGGCGACUGUUUACUAAAAACAUAGGUCUGUGCGAAGUCCUACAGACGACGUAUACGGACUGACGCCUGCCCGGUGCCGGAAGGUUAAAAGGAGGAGUCAGCGCAAGCGAAGCUUCGAUUUGAAGCCCCGGUAAACGGCGGCCGUAACGAUAACGGUCCUAAGGUAGCGAAAUUCCUUGUCGGGCAAGUUCCGACCUGCACGAAUGGCGUAACGAUCUCCACGCUGUCUCGGCCAGAGACUCGGUGAAAUUGAAGUCGCGGUGAAAAUGCCGUGUACCCGCAGAAAGACGGAAAGACCCUGUGCACCUUUACUAUAGCUUGACAUUGGGUUUUGAACCUGCAUGUGUAGGAUAGGUGGGAGGCUGUGAAAGCUGUACGCCAGUAUGGCCGGAGCCACCCGUGAAAUACCACCCUUGUUUGUUCAGGACCCUAACUCGCAGCUGUAAUCCAGCGCGAAGACAGUGUCUGGUGGGUAGUUUGACUGGGGCGGUCGCCUCCUAAAGAGUAACGGAGGCAUGCAAAGGUUCCCUCAGGCUGAUUGGAAACCAGCCGUUGAGUGCAAGCGCAUAAGGGAGCCUGACUGCAAGAGAGACAUCUCGAACAGAUACGAAAGUAGGUGCUAGUGAUCCGGUGGUCCCGAAUGGAAGGGCCAUCGCUCAUUGGAUAAAAGGUACGCCGGGGAUAACAGGCUGAUCGCAUCCAAGAGUUCACAUCGACGAUGCGGUUUGGCACCCCGAUGUCGGCUCAUCACAUCCUGGGGCUGAAGCAGGUCCCAAGGGUACGGCUGUUCGCCGUUUAAAGUGGUACGCGAGCUGGGUUUAAAACGUCGUGAGACAGUUUGGUCCCUAUCUUCUGUGGGCGUAGGAGAAUUGAGAGGGUUUGUCCCUAGUACGAGAGGACCGGGAUGAACGCACCACUGGUGGAUCAGUUGUCGCGCCGGCGGCAUAGCUGAGUAGCUAUGUGCGGAAUGGAUAACCGCUGAAAGCAUCUAAGCGGGAAGCCAGCCUCGAGAUAAGUUCUCCCUGUCGCAAGACACUAAAGGGCCGAUGAAGACUACAUCGUUGUUAGGCCGGAGGUGGAAGCGCUGCGAGGCGUGGAGCUGACCGGUACUAAUAGCCCGUGCGCCU